UACAGAGGGGGCAAGCGUUGUUCGGAAUCACUGGGCGUAAAGCGCACGUAGGCGGAUUGCUAAGUCAGAGGUGAAAUCCUGGAGCUCAACUCCAGAACUGCCUUUGAUACUGGCGAUCUCGAGUCCGGGAGAGGUGAGUGGAACUGCGAGUGUAGAGGUGAAAUUCGUAGAUAUUCGCAAGAACACCAGUGGCGAAGGCGGCUCACUGGCCCGGUACUGACGCUGAGGUGCGAAAGCGUGGGGAGCAAACAGG
This 253-nucleotide ribosomal RNA is filed under the name uncultured bacterium. RNAcentral describes it as "partial 16S ribosomal RNA". It matches the Rfam family "Bacterial small subunit ribosomal RNA", at positions 524 to 776 of the family's 1533-position model. The record is from RNAcentral.